CGAACGCUGGCGGCGUGCUUAACACAUGCAAGUCGAACGAAAAGAGGGAAAGAGCUUGCUCUUUCCGGAAUUGAGUGGCAAACGGGUGAGUAACACGUAAACAACCUGCCUUCAGGAUGGGGACAACAGACGGAAACGACUGCUAAUACCGAAUAAGUUCCAAGAGCCGCAUGGCCCAUGGAAGAAAAGGUGGCCUCUACCUGUAAGCUAUCGCCUGAAGAGGGGUUUGCGUCUGAUUAGCUGGUUGGAGGGGUAACGGCCCACCAAGGCGACGAUCAGUAGCCGGUCUGAGAGGAUGAACGGCCACACUGGGACUGCGACACGGUCCAGACUCCUACGGGAGGCAGCAGUGGGGAAUCUUCCGCAAUGGGCGAAAGCCUGACGGAGCAACGCCGCGUGAGUGAUGACGGCCUUCGGGUUGUAAAACUCUGUGAUCCGGGACGAAAAGGCAGAGUGCGAAGAACAAACUGCAUUGACGGUACCGGAAAAGCAAGCCACGGCUAACUACGUG
This 511-nucleotide ribosomal RNA is filed under the name uncultured bacterium. RNAcentral describes it as "partial 16S ribosomal RNA". It matches the Rfam family "Bacterial small subunit ribosomal RNA", at positions 30 to 507 of the family's 1533-position model. The record is from RNAcentral.